Molecule: ribosomal RNA, 615 nt
Filed under: Microbacterium sp. Ri3Ps_5375
Lineage: Bacteria; Bacillati; Actinomycetota; Actinomycetes; Micrococcales; Microbacteriaceae
Description: bacterial SSU rRNA
Rfam family: Bacterial small subunit ribosomal RNA
Source: RNAcentral
CCGCGUGAGGGAUUGACGGCCUAUCGGGUUGUAAACCUCUUUUAGCAGGGAAGAAGCGAAAGUGACGGUACCUGCAGAAAAAGCGCCGGCUAACUACGUGCCAGCAGCCGCGGUAAUACGUAGGGCGCAAGCGUUAUCCGGAAUUAUUGGGCGUAAAGAGCUCGUAGGCGGUUUGUCACGUCUGCUGUGAAAUCCCGAGGCUCAACUUCGGGUCUGCAGUGGGUACGGGCAGACUAGAGUGCGGUAGGGGAGAUUGGAAUUCCUGGUGUAGCGGUGGAAUGCGCAGAUAUCAGGAGGAACACCGAUGGCGAAGGCAGAUCUCUGGGCCGUAACUGACGCUGAGGAGCGAAAGGGUGGGGAGCAAACAGGCUUAGAUACCCUGGUAGUCCACCCCGUAAACGUUGGGAACUAGUUGUGGGGUCCAUUCCACGGAUUCCGUGACGCAGCUAACGCAUUAAGUUCCCCGCCUGGGGAGUACGGCCGCAAGGCUAAAACUCAAAGGAAUUGACGGGGACCCGCACAAGCGGCGGAGCAUGCGGAUUAAUUCGAUGCAACGCGAAGAACCUUACCAAGGCUUGACAUAUACGAGAACGCUGCAGAAAUGUAGAACUCUUU